GAUGAACGCUGGCGGCGUGCUUAAUACAUGCAAGUCGAGCGAACGGACGAGAAGCUUGCUUUUCUGAUGUUAGCGGCGGACGGGUGAGUAACACGUGGAUAACCUACCUAUAAGACUGGGAUAACUUCGGGAAACCGGAGCUAAUACCGGAUAAUAUUUUGAACCGCAUGGUUCAAAAGUGAAAGACGGUCUUGCUGUCACUUAUAGAUGGAUCCGCGCUGCAUUAGCUAGUUGGUAAGGUAACGGCUUACCAAGGCAACGAUGCAUAGCCGACCUGAGAGGGUGAUCGGCCACACUGGAACUGAGACACGGCCCAGACUCCUACGGGAGGCAGCAGUAGGGAAUCUUCCGCAAUGGGCGAAAGCCUGACGGAGCAACGCCGCGUGAGUGAUGAAGGUCUUCGGAUCGUAAAACUCUGUUAUUAGGGAAGAACAUAUGUGUAAGUAACUGGGCACAUCUUGACGGUACCUAAUCAGAAAGCCACGGCUAACUACGUG
Molecule: ribosomal RNA, 497 nt
Filed under: uncultured bacterium
Lineage: Bacteria
Description: partial 16S ribosomal RNA
Rfam family: Bacterial small subunit ribosomal RNA
Source: RNAcentral